Molecule: non-coding RNA, 155 nt
Filed under: Bradyrhizobium elkanii
Lineage: Bacteria; Pseudomonadati; Pseudomonadota; Alphaproteobacteria; Hyphomicrobiales; Nitrobacteraceae
Description: FMN sequence
Rfam family: FMN riboswitch aptamer (RFN element)
About the family: The RFN element is a highly conserved domain that is found frequently in the 5'-untranslated regions of prokaryotic mRNAs that encode for flavin mononucleotide (FMN) biosynthesis and transport proteins. This element is a metabolite-dependent riboswitch that directly binds FMN in the absence of proteins. In Bacillus subtilis, the riboswitch most likely controls gene expression by causing premature transcription termination within the 5' untranslated region of the ribDEAHT operon and precluding access to the ribosome-binding site of ypaA mRNA.
Source: RNAcentral
CGAUGUUCUCAGGGCGGGGUGAAAGUCCCCACCGGCGGUAAGGGCGAUGAGCCCAAGCCCGCGAGCGCCUUCGUUCCGCGAAGCGGGAGGAAGGGUCAGCAGAUUCGGUGCAAUUCCGAAGCCGACGGUCACAGUCCGGAUGAAAGAGAACGGUU